GACGAACGCUGGCGGCGUGCCUAAUACAUGCAAGUAGAACGCUGAAGAGAGGCGCUUGCUCUUCUUGGCUGUGUUGCGCACGGGUGUGUAACGCGUAUGUAACCUGCCUGGUAGCGGGGGAUCACUAUUGGAAACGAUAGCUAAUACCGCAUAAAAUUGAUUAUUGCAUGAUAAUUAGUUGAAAGAUGCAACUGCAUCACUACCAGAUGGACCUGCGUUGUAUUAGCUAGUUGGUGAGGUAACGGCUCACCAAGGCGACGAUACAUAGACGACCUGAGAGGGUGAUCGGCCACACUGGGACUGAGACACGGCCCAGACGCCUACGGGAGGCAGCAGUAGGGAAUCGUCGGCAAUGGGGGGAACCCUGACCGAGCAACGCCGCGGGAGUGAAGAAGGUUUUCGGAUCGUAAAGCUCUGUUGUAAGAGAAGAACGGGUGUGAGAGUGGAAAGUUCACACUGUGACGGUAUCUGACCAGAAAGGGACGGCUAACUACGUG
RNAcentral lists this ribosomal RNA (497 nucleotides) under uncultured bacterium. RNAcentral describes it as "partial 16S ribosomal RNA". It matches the Rfam family "Bacterial small subunit ribosomal RNA", at positions 28 to 507 of the family's 1533-position model. The record is from RNAcentral.